RNAcentral lists this ribosomal RNA (555 nucleotides) under Leptodactylus petersii (Peter's thin-toed frog). Its description in RNAcentral is "partial large subunit ribosomal RNA". It matches the Rfam family "Bacterial large subunit ribosomal RNA", at positions 1846 to 2596 of the family's 2925-position model. The record is from RNAcentral. Lineage: Eukaryota; Metazoa; Chordata; Amphibia; Anura; Leptodactylidae.
UAAGAGGUCCAGCCUGCCCAGUGACUCUGUUCAACGGCCGCGGUAUCCUAACCGUGCAAAGGUAGCGCAAUCAUUUGUCCUUUAAAUAAGGACUAGUAUGAACGGCACCACGAAAGCUAUACUGUCUCCUUCCCCUAAUCAGUGAAACUAAUUUUCCCGUGAAGAAGCGGGGAUAAUUUUAUAAGACGAGAAGACCCUAUGGAGCUUUAAACACACAACAACUGUCACGGACCCCUCCUCUUCCCCGGAAGAAACUACUCACCCGAACAUUUUGAUUGCAAGUUUUAGGUUGGGGUGACCACGGAGCAAAAAAUAACCUCCAUAGUGAAUGGGAUUCUUCCCCCCUUAAACCCAGGGCCACAACCCUAAGAAUCAAUAAAUUGACACCCAUUGACCCAAUACUUUUGACCAACGAACCAAGUUACCCUAGGGAUAACAGCGCAAUCCACUUCAAGAGCUCCUAUCGACAAGUGGGUUUACGACCUCGAUGUUGGAUCAGGGCGCCCCAGUAGUGCAGCCGCUGCUAAAGGUUCGUUUGUUCAACGACUAAGGCCC